This is a non-coding RNA of Schistosoma haematobium, 48 nucleotides long. Lineage: Eukaryota; Metazoa; Platyhelminthes; Trematoda; Strigeidida; Schistosomatidae. The record is from Rfam.
AUUCAACUGACGAGUCCCAAACAGGACGAGAGUGCACCUCAUUUGGAU